GAUGAAGAACGUAGCGAAAUGCGAUACGUAAUGUGAAUUGCAGAAUUCAGUGAAUCAUCGAAUCUUUGAACGCAUAUUGCGCUCUCUGGUAUUCCGGAGAGCAUGCUUGUUUGAGUAUCAGUAAACACCUCAACUUCCAUAUCUUUUUUGAAAUGGGAGUUGGACUUGAGUGAUCCCAACGCUUUUCCUCACCGAAAAGUGGCGGGUUACUUGAAAUGCAGGUGCAGCUGGACUUUUCUCUGAGCUAUAAGCAUAUCUAUUUAGUCUACCUAAAAAACAGAUUAUUACCUUUGCUGCAGCUAACAUAAAGGAGAUUAGUUCUUGUGCUGACUGAUGCAGGAUUCACAAAGACGGCUUCGGCCGACUUUGUAAACUCGAUCUCAAAUCAAGUAAGACUACCCGCUGAACUUAAGCAUAUCAAUAAGCGGAGGA
RNAcentral lists this unclassified non-coding RNA (432 nucleotides) under soil metagenome. RNAcentral's name for it is "partial contains 5.8S ribosomal RNA, internal transcribed spacer 2, and large subunit ribosomal RNA". The stretch from base 1 to 120 matches the Rfam family "5.8S ribosomal RNA", at positions 35 to 154 of the family's 154-position model. The record is from RNAcentral.